UACGUAGGGGGCAAGCGUUGUUCGGAUUUAUUGGGCGUAAAGGGCGUGUAGGCGGCUAUGCAGGUCCGCUGUGAAAACUCGAGGCUCAACCUCGAGACGUCGGUGGAAACCGCAUGGCUAGAGUCCGGAAGAGGAGAGUGGAAUUCCCGGUGUAGCGGUGAAAUGCGCAGAUAUCGGGAAGAACACCCGUGGCGAAGGCGGCUCUCUGGGACGGUACUGACGCUGAGACGCGAAAGCGUGGGGAGCGAACAGG
Molecule: ribosomal RNA, 253 nt
Filed under: uncultured bacterium
Lineage: Bacteria
Description: partial 16S ribosomal RNA
Rfam family: Bacterial small subunit ribosomal RNA
Source: RNAcentral